Saccostrea cuccullata (small rock oyster) is the source of this 769-nucleotide long non-coding RNA. RefSeq lists it as uncharacterized. The transcript has 5 exons. NCBI's taxonomy places the organism in Eukaryota, Metazoa, Mollusca, Bivalvia, Ostreida, Ostreidae. The record is from RefSeq and is a predicted model, not a curated record.
AACCAGAAUUUUCUCGUUUGGUAUUGGUUUCAGAAUUUUAGUCAUUAAAGUGUUCCUCUGUUCAGCAUUUACAGAGUAUGUUGUACAAUGUAAUAAAAUAUUUAUUUAUUUCUUAUGCAUACUCAAGAAUAUAUUUAGCACUUAUUUUGAUUAUUUAAAUAGUUGCAGUGGACUGUGCCUGAGACGAUUCCCCACAUCGCCGGCUAUGUAGACAGCUUGUGAAAAUGAAAUUGUGCCAGAAAAGUUUGAAGUAGCUAUGGGAAUGAUCAACAUUGAACUUGCUGAGCCUUCCUUCUGAAAGUUACUUGACCAGAUAUUUGGCUACCCAGUAUGAGUAUCUUUCUGUAACAUUAAAUAAAAUAUCGUGGAGGAACACAAAGAAAAGGGCUGUGCAUCUCAACAUAUUCAAGGUCAAGCAGCUUUUUACCAUAUCCAUAGUAUCUUGCUGCUAAAUGAAAAAAAUAUAUUCCGGAGGAGCAGAGAAAAGGGCACUUCACAUGUUCAAGGUCAAGCAGAAAUUAGGAGCUAGAUGUGCUUCUCCAGAGCUGAAAACUUCUUGGCAUGAAGAGAAAAAAAAGCAAGAAGAAGCAGUUUUAAAUAUUGAUUACGUCUUCAUAGUACAAAAAAAUGAUUCUAAAGAUAAUACUAUCUAUGAAAUUAGAAAACUGAAGUUGCGUUCUGAUGAAUGUGAGAAAGUUUUCAAAGAACAGGACACCAAAAGUGCAACUCUCACAUCAAAGCACUCUAAAAGGCAGAGCAUAAGGAGAAC